GAAAUGCGAAAGUUAAUGCGAAUUGCAGAAUUCAGUGAAUCAUCGAGUCUUUGAACGCACAUUGCGCCCGCCGGUAUUCCGGCGGGCAUGCCUGUCCGAGCGUCUUUUCACAAUGAAAUCGAGCCCCCGGGUUUGGUGUUGGGGAUCGGGCUGUACUCCAGCCCGGCCCCGAAAUCUAGUGGCGGUCUCGCUGCAGCCUCCAUUGCGUAGUAGCUAACACCUCGCAACUGGAACGCGGCGCGGCCAAGCCGUUAAACCCCCAACUUCUGAAUGUUGACCUCGGAUCAGGUAGGAAUACCCGCUGAACUUAAGC
RNAcentral lists this unclassified non-coding RNA (313 nucleotides) under plant metagenome. RNAcentral describes it as "partial contains 5.8S ribosomal RNA, internal transcribed spacer 2, and large subunit ribosomal RNA". The stretch from base 1 to 105 matches the Rfam family "5.8S ribosomal RNA", at positions 50 to 154 of the family's 154-position model. The record is from RNAcentral.